Molecule: RNA transcript, 3856 nt
Organism: Cloeon dipterum
Lineage: Eukaryota; Metazoa; Arthropoda; Insecta; Ephemeroptera; Baetidae
Gene name: sarcolemmal membrane-associated protein-like
Exons: 17
Source: RefSeq, a predicted model, not a curated record
UCGCCUGCAGAGCCACCUGGUUGAUUCUCAGCUGAAGUUGUCGAUUGUGGUUGUGAUUGCUCUCGAGCCAGUUCUGUGUUUUGGCCUCGCUUUCGGCGGAAUUUCGGCCGAUCGGCCGGUCUUGACCCUCACCGAUGAUGCCCACGAGGGCCAGCGCCGUGAUGCACCUGUUCGACAGUUAAUCUCAGGUUCGACCCGAUAAAUCAAGACUGCCUUCUGUGAUCCAACAUGACCGCCAAGGCAGUCCUGAUGUGCCGGCCAAAUUCGCACCCCUUCCAGGAGCGCACCCUGUACCUGGACCAGCCGGUCAAGAUCGGCAGGUCGGUGGCCAGGGCCCGACCUGCUGCUAACAAUGCCAUCUUUGACUGCAAAGUCCUCUCGCGCAACCACGCAUUGCUGUGGUAUGAGAACGGAAAGUUUUUCCUUCAAGACACAAAGAGCAGCAAUGGCACCUUCGUCAAUAACCAACGGCUUAGCAAGGGCGCUGAGGAGUCUCCGCCGCGGGAGGUUUGCUCGUCGGACAUAGUCCAGUUUGGAGUGGAUGUGAUGGAGAAUACGAGGAAAGUGACCCACGGCUGCAUCAUCGCCACUCUCAAGCUGUACUUGGCUGACGGGAAAGAGGCCAAGGCGAGUCCAUCGACCACGGUGGUCAGCUCGGUCGGCACCGUACCCCUCGAAGACAUGUACCAGCUGAAGCACUUCAUCCAAGAGUGUCUGCACCGUGAACAACUGCUUGAGAACAAAUUAGCGACCAUGCAGAGUCUCGUUAGCAAUAUGGUUGUGGCUGUGGACAAGGCGUGGAAGGCGCUGAUCGAGGAGGAUAGACUUCUGUCCAAAAUUGAGCUCCUUGAGAAUCAACUUCUUACAUGUUCUAAGAAUUUCCCUGAAGAGAAGGUCCGCGAGGAAGUGCGCAGGUUGUUAGACGAAAAGGACAGUUACCAAGCAGCAGCCAAGGAGGCCUUGAAAAAAGUUGUUCAGGAAAAGGUGGAAGCCGUUUUGAAACUGAAAGACAUUGAAAGGGCCUUGAGCAAUUCGGAAGAUGAGUGUGCGCUGCUGCGGAAUUCGUGCGAUCAAAACCAGAAAGACUGCCAGGACCUUGCUCAGAAGUACAAACUAGUUCAGCAGACGGUGGAGGAGCUGACGCAGAAGCUAAAGGAGAGCGAGGAGCAGCAGGCCGAGGCCAUCGAGCACCUGGAGCAGGAAAAGGCUGAUCUGCAAGCCUGUCUGCAAGUGAAUAUGGACAAUCAACACAGGAGGUCGUGCAUCGACCUCUGCAACAACGACGAGCUCUCCCUCAACGACUCAAAUUCUAAAGCUAAAAUUGAUCUCGAUCACACCGUCGACUUGCCAGCUUUGAUUUUAGAUGGCGAACUGAUUCUCAAGAAGAUUGAGGAUUUGCCGGAAAUCACAACUAAAGAAGUCACUCAGUUCAAUGACGAGGUGGAGAAACUGAAGCAGCGCCUGGAAACAAUGGAGGAAGAUCUGCACAAAAGUCACCAAGUUGUUGAGGACCUCAUAGAGCAACUAAAGAACGCCCAAAUGGAAAUUGAAUUGCGGGAUGGGGUGGUCAGAGAUUUGGUUGAGAGAAUUCGUCUUGUCAAAGAGGAUCUGGAUGAAAAGACGAGCAAUGAUGUCAAAUCUAAUAAGGUACCUGAUGAUGAUGAAGUGCCACAGUCUGAAACUGUAAAUAAACUCAAUCAGCAGCUGGAGGAGAUGCAAGAGUGCCUAGCAAGCUCUUUGUUUCAUGUUGAGUUCUAUAAAAGCAUGGUGGUGGUAAUGACAGAGCUGCUGGAAGAGGCGCGUGAUAUGAAACAGUCUUCAGACGCUAAAGUCACGCAGCUGAAAAACGAGCUUGACACUGCCCAAUUUGAAUGUAAAAAACUUAACGAUGAAUCUGAAGUACUCCGUGGACAUAUCCAGUUCCUGGAACAGGGUGGAAACUCGUGUGGAAGGCGACUGGAGGAGCAGAUGCUGAACUUGGUCUCUUCCUCUCAGACCCUGCAAGCGCAGUACCUGCAACUUCAGACGGUUUUGCAGGAAGCCAACAACAGGGCUCGCCAGCGAAGCGAAGAGGUCGAAAGACUGAGAAGACAACUCUUAGAAUCUCAGCAAAAUGAGAAGCAGAGUCGUAACGAGGCUGAAAAGAUGAAGGACACUGUCAAGAGCUUGGAGGAAGAAGUGGCCUCGUGCAAGCAGAUUUCAGGCAAGGUCCUCCAAGAGGACAACAAAAAGAACGAGGAACUACAGCACUCACAGCAAGAGUGCAAGUCCUUGCAAAACUGGAUAUCCAUAAUGGAGGAGGAGUUGAAAACGCUUAAAAUGAAACACUUGCAACUCGAGGAGGAAAACAAAACGCUGAAGGCUUCCAACUCUUCCAAGGGGAGCAAGAAAUCCAGUCCAGAACCAAGUGGAGAGAAUGUCACGUCAGAAGACGAGUCCAGCCUGGACAUGUCGGAAAUCACAAAGCAGCAGGAUUUCGUGAAAGUGAUGCAGCUGUACAUGUCAUGCAAGCAGCGCAAGGCUGAAUUAGCCAAAGACCUGGACCGCCUCAAGGAGGAGAACAAAAGGCUGGAGAAUCGAUCAACCACUGUGCCUUCACUUGCUAUUUAUAUUUGUGCUGCAGUUUUGUUUGUCGCAUGGCUGUUGCAUAACGCACUCUCAUCGUAAUUUUCUUGAAAUAUUUCUGAGUGUCACUUCUCUAUGUAGUCUACUUUUAACUGCUGGAUUUUUAUUUCUACAGGGAUUCUUGUUUGGUGUUAUUCCAUUGAUGCUCUUGGUCUGGGCCUUAAUUUUAAGAAUACAGAGUUCUCUCGCCUUUUUUACUGCAACCUUUGAUUAAGAAUACAACGGACGGGAUAUUUUGUCUAACUACAGUAGAAGAGGAGAAGAAACACAUCCAGGAAAAAACGCAUAAAUAUUUAUAUUCCUGCUAUGUAUUCGGAUUAACUAUCGAUGUUGUGCCAUUUCUAUCUUCGACGGGAGCCACCGCUGAAAUGUACGGUAACCAACCACUUUUGGUGCUUGCAAUCUUAACCAGAUCCUCUCGCCGCUGAAUCUCAUCGUCCUGCUCUUUAUUUGCAAUUAUUGGAGGGCAUUUAACUGCAUUUUGCGCAUUUGAAACGUGUGCAGUGCAUCGUAAUUGUUGUUACUCCAAUUCAUGUGUGCACAUUUGAUGCCAAAAUUUGAUUUUAAUCAGUUCUGUUUGACAAUAGUUAGCUCAACAUUGACACUUGUAAAUAUCUGCUGGAGUGGCAAGCACAAAGAUUUGUCUGUGGGUUGUUCUGUUGGUGUAUUACUACUAAUUUACCAAUGCCUAAAUUUAACUAUCCUUUUCUGAAAGUGGUUGUGGCUUGAGGUGGCUUCCCUGCUAUCGAAUAAUAGUAUAUCGUGUUGUAAAGAAGCUGCAAACAAUGUACAUUGCUCGGGCAAGCUCAAAAUUUGAAACGCACCCUCUGAAAAGUAACACACAGCCGCAGACACAUGCGAGGUAUUUAUUGUUAUUUAAACUGAUUUUAUACAUACUUGUAAGUAGAUAAUUAUAAAUUAUUUUUCUCUGCCACUGACAGGUAAUAAUCAAGAUGCAAUGUUUUGGUCCAGUUGAUCUGUGAACUUAACUGUCAAUUAACUAAUUUUACUUUUAAAUCAAGCCAAUAACAAAUUAUUAGUUUUCAGUUAAGCUUGGAAAGCUAGUCAUGGUUGUUUAAGUUAAAAGAUUUGUCACAAGAUCAAUGAAUAUUUCAAUGGACGCAAUUCUUAUCAAUUUGUUCAAAUAAAGAUAUACAUAAAUACUGUUAAUUUUGUCAAGUGUUCUGUUCGACUAGGCACAGUUGGAAUAAAAGAGAAGUGGAUCGCGCAA